UACGGAGGGUGCGAGCGUUGUCCGGAAUCACUGGGCGUAAAGGGCGCGUAGGCGGCUUUGUAAGUCGGGGGUGAAAGCCUGUGGCUCAACCACAGAAUUGCCUUCGAUACUGCAUGGCUUGAGACCGGAAGAGGUUAGUGGAACUGCGAGUGUAGAGGUGAAAUUCGUAGAUAUUCGCAAGAACACCAGUGGCGAAGGCGGCUGACUGGUCCGGUUCUGACGCUGAGGCGCGAAAGCGUGGGGAGCAAACAGG
This 253-nucleotide ribosomal RNA is filed under the name uncultured bacterium. Its description in RNAcentral is "partial 16S ribosomal RNA". It matches the Rfam family "Bacterial small subunit ribosomal RNA", at positions 524 to 776 of the family's 1533-position model. The record is from RNAcentral.